RNAcentral lists this long non-coding RNA (1324 nucleotides) under Sus scrofa (pig). RNAcentral describes it as "lncRNA (ENSSSCG00025077587.1)". Lineage: Eukaryota; Metazoa; Chordata; Mammalia; Artiodactyla; Suidae. The record is from RNAcentral.
AUUAAAUAGCUCCAGAUGCUGAGUGAAAAGGAUAUUUUAAAUCAGAAAGACACUUUUCUGCAUUGGGCCACAUGAACCCCAAAACCAGGCUUGGCCAGGAAGAUGUGGAGCUUCUGUCCUUUUAAAAUCACCCGGGUAGAGAAAGAGACAACAUGGGCGUUACGGAGGCUUCAGGCUCCCUGGCGAGAGGCACAGAAGGAAGCCCUGUCGGGUCAGGUCAAGCUGGGAGUGCACUCUGUGUGCGUGCCUACCAACAAAGCCCCAAAUACCUGGGAUCGCCCAACGACAGUGGCUGGAGUAAGAGAUGGGAGCAGGAAGACUUGAAAUGGUGCAGAAGAUACAACCCCAUCCGUCAGGAGUGAAAACAAAGAAGAGGAUGGCAUGACUUGGCUUUAGUGUUGACAGCAGGUAUUACAUAACAUCUCUUUGUAGAAGAAGAGGGUAGAUCUUGGACGUCAAUUAUCCUUCCUACUUUUUGAGGAACUAUGUAUUUCUGUAGAAUUAAGAAAUACGGUCCCCAAACGCCCACCUAGCUUGUUGUACCAAAUUACAAUUAGAGACAGCAUGACCUAACUGAAAGAGACCCAGCCAAGACCUUGGAUAAAUAGCUUAGUUUCCCUGGGGAAGCAGGGGAAGGAGGUGUGGGGUAAAUUCCUGCUUCUACUACUACCUAUGACCACAAGUAUCUUUUCUUACUCGUUUCUAGUGGGUNUUUUUUUUUUUUUUUUUUUCUUGGAGGGGAAGGGAAAUUUCUCAAAUAACCCAUGUAAAAAAUAUUUUGUAAACUAGGAAGGAUUAUUAUCACUUGGGCAUUAUUACUAAAGUCUACUUUUCUAAAAUACUCUAUCAUAAUCAAAAUAGUUCAGUCAAGUCAAAUCACCAGACCUAGAGCAUAAACUUUGCGCCACGCCCUGUGCAAUGCAUGAUGGAUUCAAAGAUGCACAAAGGGGAAAGGCACAAGGAGUUACAUUUACUCUGAAGGAUCACUCAUGGUACUACUGUCAUAGCAAGAAAAAAUGGUGGCAUCAACGCUUUGCCAGAGGGACAUUUUCAGAAACAAGUGUGUUACAAAUAUUGAAAUAUUGAAAUCCAGGGGUCAAACCAAUUGAAAUAGACAACCUCUUAUGCCAUUCUCUAAUUUACCAAAUCCAGUUUGUUUAAUAGGGGGUAAAGGCUGGCAAUGACACUCCUAAAUUCUGGAGCACUUCUCCUUUCAAAAUGAUUUUAAAACAAUUAAAUAGAUACUGACAAGACUCCCGGCAGCAAGAACUACUGAAUAUGAUCAGGAGUGAGGAGACCCUUGGUCAUUUAUACAUUCAGGCUA